This 491-nucleotide ribosomal RNA is filed under the name uncultured bacterium. Its description in RNAcentral is "partial 16S ribosomal RNA". It matches the Rfam family "Bacterial small subunit ribosomal RNA", at positions 29 to 506 of the family's 1533-position model. The record is from RNAcentral.
AGUGAACGCUGGCGGUAGGCCUAACACAUGCAAGUCGAACGGCAGCACAGUAAGAGCUUGCUCUUACGGGUGGCGAGUGGCGGACGGGUGAGGAAUACAUCGGAAUCUACUUUUUCGUGGGGGAUAACGUAGGGAAACUUACGCUAAUACCGCAUACGACCUACGGGUGAAAGCAGGGGAUCUUCGGACCUUGCGCGAUUGGAUGAGCCGAUGUCGGAUUAGCUAGUUGGCGGGGUAAAGGCCCACCAAGGCGACGAUCCGUAGCUGGUCUGAGAGGAUGAUCAGCCACACUGGAACUGAGACACGGUCCAGACUCCUACGGGAGGCAGCAGUGGGGAAUAUUGGAAAAUGGGCGCAAGCCUGAUCCAGCCAUACCGCGUGGGUGAAGAAGGCCUGCGGGUUGUAAAGCCCUUUUGUUGGGAAAGAAAAGCAGCAGGUUAAUACCCCGCUGUUCGGACGGUACCCAAAGAAUAAGCACCGGCUAACUUCGG